Molecule: long non-coding RNA, 247 nt
Filed under: Mytilus galloprovincialis (Mediterranean mussel)
Lineage: Eukaryota; Metazoa; Mollusca; Bivalvia; Mytilida; Mytilidae
Source: RNAcentral
UGACUUAAAUUUGACUGGCUACACAUAAUAUUGCGGGUAAAAAAUACAUUUAAUAUCGGAGAAUUAUAUGAACUUAUUACAUUGGUUGCAAUGAUUUGCAUUGAUUUACCAGUUUAAUAAAAACCGACAGUUUAACAUGUGAAAAAAAACGUGGUUAUUUCACUCUCUGACGUCGUACAACAAUAGGCGUUGUCAAGACGUCGAUAACGGCGGAUCAAAACAAAUUGUGAAUGCGUAGAAAAAAAGA